Molecule: ribosomal RNA, 458 nt
Filed under: uncultured bacterium
Lineage: Bacteria
Description: partial 16S ribosomal RNA
Rfam family: Bacterial small subunit ribosomal RNA
Source: RNAcentral
AGCGAACGCUGGCGGCAGGCUUAACACAUGCAAGUCGAGCGGGAACUUCGGUGUCAGCGGCGGACGGGUGGGUAAAACGUGGGAACGUACACUUUGGUUAGGAAUACCGCUGUGAAGCUAGCGCUAAUACAGGAUACGCUAUUUUGGGGCAAGGCUUGCUGCAGAAGGGUGGGCAAGCGCGUGAUUAGCUAGUUGGUGGGGUAAUGGCCUACGAAGGCGGCGAUCGGUAGCUGGUCUGAGAGGAUGAUCAGCAACCCUGGGAGUGAGACAUGGGCCAGACGCCUAAGGGAGGACGCAGUGGGGAAUCCUGGGCAAUGGGGGAGAGCGUAAUACAGUAAUACGGAGUCAGUGAAGAAGGCGCCAGGGGUGGAAAGUCCUUUUGUUGGUAGAGAAAAGCAGCAGGUUAAUACGACGCGGUAAUGACGGUACCGGAAGAAUAAGCCCCGGCUAACUUCGUG